Molecule: ribosomal RNA, 470 nt
Filed under: uncultured Acholeplasma sp.
Lineage: Bacteria; Bacillati; Mycoplasmatota; Mollicutes; Acholeplasmatales; Acholeplasmataceae
Description: bacterial SSU rRNA
Rfam family: Bacterial small subunit ribosomal RNA
Source: RNAcentral
CAAAUGAAUUGACGGACCCGCACAAGCGGUGGAUCAUGUUGUUAAUUCGAUGAUACGCGAAGAACCUUACCAGGUCUUGACAUCCCCGCAAUGCUUUAGAGAUAAAGCGGAGGUAUCCGGGAGACAGGUGGUGCAUGGUUGUCGUCAGCUCGUGUCGUGAGAUGUUGGGUUAAGUCCCGCAACGAGCGCAACCCUUAUUGCUAGUUACCAUCAUUGAGUUGGGGACUCUAGCGAGACUGCCAGCGAUAAGCUGGAGGAAGGUGGGGAUGACGUCAAAUCAUCAUGCCCCUUAUGACCUGGGCUACAAACGUGAUACAAUGGCUGGAACAAAGGGAGGCGAAGGGGUGACCUGGAGCGAAACUCAAAAAAACAGUCUCAGUUCGGAUUGAAGUCUGCAACUCGACUUCAUGAAGUUGGAAUCGCUAGUAAUCGCGGAUCAGCAUGCCGCGGUGAAUACGUUCCCGGGCCUU